GCCAGCUUGGUGCAGUGGUUUGAGCGUUGGGCUGCAACUCUGGAGAUCAGGGUUCAAUUCCCUGCUCAGUCG
Molecule: non-coding RNA, 72 nt
Organism: Phrynosoma platyrhinos (Desert horned lizard)
Lineage: Eukaryota; Metazoa; Chordata; Lepidosauria; Squamata; Phrynosomatidae
Source: the annotation of a GenBank genome assembly